AUCUUCAGGGCAGGGUGAAAUUCCCUACCGGCGGUAAAGCCCGCGAGCCUUAUGGCUGACUCGGUGAGAUUCCGAGGCCGACAGUAAAGUCUGGAUGGAAGAAGAUA
RNAcentral lists this non-coding RNA (107 nucleotides) under human gut metagenome. RNAcentral's name for it is "FMN riboswitch (RFN element)". It matches the Rfam family "FMN riboswitch aptamer (RFN element)". From Rfam's summary of the family: The RFN element is a highly conserved domain that is found frequently in the 5'-untranslated regions of prokaryotic mRNAs that encode for flavin mononucleotide (FMN) biosynthesis and transport proteins. This element is a metabolite-dependent riboswitch that directly binds FMN in the absence of proteins. The record is from RNAcentral.